Salvelinus namaycush (lake trout) is the source of this 281-nucleotide long non-coding RNA. RefSeq lists it as uncharacterized. The record is from RefSeq and is a predicted model, not a curated record. The transcript is spliced from 3 exons. NCBI's taxonomy places the organism in Eukaryota, Metazoa, Chordata, Actinopteri, Salmoniformes, Salmonidae.
CUUCUGCUGCAACAAACCCAUCAGACCAGGCUGAGACAGAGAGGGGGGCUGAGCAGAAAGCAAGAAGGAGCUUCCUUUGCUUUUCAAUGACCAAACUCAGGAUCAACUUCAAGCGUUCCAAGAGAGGAAACAAAAAGGACUGCCAUUCAGUCCAGGAACAGACUGAGAUUCCCUCUACUGAUGGACAUUGCAUAGCUCCAGUUGGAGAGGUUUCUCCCUCCAUAUCUCAGCCUAUCAAAAAACGAUCCUUGAUUGUCAGGGUCUUUUCAGCAAUGAUGAAG